Amphimedon queenslandica is the source of this 1251-nucleotide long non-coding RNA. RefSeq lists it as uncharacterized. NCBI's taxonomy places the organism in Eukaryota, Metazoa, Porifera, Demospongiae, Haplosclerida, Niphatidae. The record is from RefSeq and is a predicted model, not a curated record. The transcript is spliced from 3 exons.
AUUAUUCUUUUAUUUUAUGAUACCACUGUGAUACUUCACUAAACUCUGUUAUUCACAAUCUUUCAGGGAGUAAGUCACAUAGUUACGAUGUGUAAUCUUAUUCUUUUCUUCUAUGAUAUCAUUUAUGUGUUUUUAGACAGAUACAAGUAUGCUGACUGCAGACAACAUUCCAAAAAGUUUUUUAUUUUAAGUUACUACUUAAAAUAAAUAUACUAUUAUUCAUUUUUUAUAUUUAUUGGUGUAUGCAUGUACAUGUACAUACUUAGGUGCAUAUGAGAGAGCUCUCAAAGAACAAGGAAGUGCUGAUGUAGCGUAUGCUCGUCUUAUGUUACUGGGAUCAGCUGGUACUGGCAAGACGUCUCUCAAGCGUUCAUUAAUGGAAGAACCUUUCAAUCCUCAUACUACAAGCACCAUUGUAUCUGAUAUAUCCUCUGUACGACCAUUUGGACACGAGUGGCAGACAAUGAGAGGAAAAAAAUGGAGGGAAGCUACAGAACAAGAUGAAAUUGAGGAACUUGCACAUUUGUUUAAUUCCAGUCAUUCUAAUCCAUCCUCACACUGUACACCUGAAUCUAACACACAGCAUUCUCAUGAUGAAUUAGAAUCUACUAGUUUAAUAGCUUCCAUUUUGAAUGUAGAAAGUCAUAUCCAAUCAGUAUUAAAAUAAGCUAGCUCAACUUCUCCGACACUUGAAGCACAUGUUCAACCAUUUCUUCAUAUAUGGGAUUGUGGUGGUCAGCCAGUGUUCCUUGAGAUUCUCCCAGCCUUCCUCACUCCUCGUACAAUGUUUCUCCUCCUGUUUGAUGCUUCAAAGGAUAUCAGAGAACCAUGGCAGUCACGUCAGAAUACUCCUGAUGGUGAAGUGCUGUUUGGUGAGGUAGUGAAUGAAAGCACAAGUGAUCUUAUCGCCAAAUGGAUGUCUACAAUACACAGUCACCUCAUAAAGCACAACCAAGAUGAUACUUCUCCUAGCCUCUACUGUAUUGGCACUCGUGGUGACAAGUUGAAGGCAAAAUGGAAGAGAGAUCAAGUAAAGAAGCAAAUACAAUCUCUGUAUGAGGAGAAAGAGUUCUCAGAUCUUAUUAAAGAUGUGCUAAUUAUUGAUAAUACGACCUCAGGCAAGGGAGAAGGAGAAGAUUCAAGUAUUACAAAAUUACGUGGAACUCUUGGUAAUUUUAUCACUACGUUAGUCAUCAAAAUCCCUGUCAAUUGGGUUCUUUUUCACAAAAUUCUGCAAGAGCUUAAGCUAAA